CAAAUUUCCAAAAGAAUUUUGAGAAUCCAGAGCCCAUUGCUCUGAUAAUUAAAUUCAACAUCUGGACCCAGCUUGGCAAGUGCUCUGUGAUCCAGCCCGUUACCUACCUCUCAUCUCAUCUCUCGGCCAUGCUCCAAGAAGUGUCUGCUCCCCAAGUGCAUAAGCUCAUGCCCCCAGGCCCAUGUCCUUGCCUCUCCCUCUGCCUGGGACACUCUUCCUCCAGAUCUUUACACUUUUGCCUCUUUUUUCAGCCUCAGCUCAAACAUCACCUCCUCCCAGAGGUCUUCCCUGACCACCCCAGGGAUAGCAGCCCUCCCGCUUCCCCAGGCACUCCCACAUUACCUUCUUUAUCAUUUUCUUCCAGAGCUCUUAGGAUGAUCUGAACUUCUCUCAUAAACUGGCUUAUUCACCUGUGAACUGCCUGCUUCCCUCGCUAUAACUGAAGCACUGGAAGAGGUCCUGCACCCAGCAGGCACUCAAUGAGUAUCUGAGGAAUGAGUGAAUGAAAUGCCCAGUGCACAAUCAACCUCCACAAAAGCAGUUUUUCUUUUCACAUAUAACUCAUCGCUAUCACAGCCCCUCUCCUUGCUCACCCGCCUCGCUGAGGGGCUCCUGAGAACCUCCGUAGAGGUCUCCAUCAGCCAAAAAGCAUCUGCACCGUCAGAGAGGGCCCCUCACUGCCGCUCGCAGUGCUCCCUGCUGCCACGUGCAGCCCCUUGAGCAUGAGCCUGUUGACACAGGUUGGCACACGGUGUCUGGCUUCUGUAAAUGCUCUCUGCUCCCAGGUGUGCCGUGCCCCAUUGAAGGACAGCACUCACACUCCUCCAGGUAUUAACUGACUUUUUC
Molecule: long non-coding RNA, 846 nt
Filed under: Homo sapiens (human)
Lineage: Eukaryota; Metazoa; Chordata; Mammalia; Primates; Hominidae
Description: HSALNT0224580
Source: RNAcentral